This 497-nucleotide ribosomal RNA is filed under the name uncultured bacterium. RNAcentral describes it as "partial 16S ribosomal RNA". It matches the Rfam family "Bacterial small subunit ribosomal RNA", at positions 28 to 507 of the family's 1533-position model. The record is from RNAcentral.
GAUGAACGCUGGCGGCGUGCCUAAUACAUGCAAGUCGAGCGAACAGACGAGGAGCUUGCUCCUCUGAUGUUAGCGGCGGACGGGUGAGUAACACGUGGAUAACCUACCUAUAAGACUGGGAUAACUUCGGGAAACCGGAGCUACUACCGGAUAAUAUAUUGAACAGCAUGGUUCAAUAGUGAAAGACGGUUUUGCUGUCACUUAUAGAUGGAUCCGCGCCGCAUUAGCUAGUUGGUAAGGUAACGGCUUACCAAGGCAACGAUGCGUAGCCGACCUGAGGGGGUGAUCGCCCACACUGGAACUUGGACACGGUCCAGGCUCCUACGGGAGGCAGCAGUAGGGUAUCUUCCGCAAUGGGCGAAAGCCUGGCGGAGCAACGCCGCGUGAGUGAUGAAGGUCUUCGGAUCGUAAAACUCUGUUAUUAGGGAAGAACAAAUGUGUAAUUAACUAUGCACGUCUUGACGGUACCUAAUCAGAAAGCCACGGCUAACUACGUG